AUUGAACGCUGGCGGCAUGCUUUACACAUGCAAGUCGAACGGUAACAGGCCGCAAGGUGCUGACGAGUGGCGAACGGGUGAGUAAUGCAUCGGAACGUGCCCAGUCGUGGGGGAUAACUACUCGAAAGAGUAGCUAAUACCGCAUACGAUCUAUGGAUGAAAGCGGGGGACCGUAAGGACUCGCGCGAUUGGAGCGGCCGAUGUCAGAUUAGGUAGUUGGUGGGGUAAAGGCACACAAAGCCAACGAUCUGUAGCUGGUCUGAGAAGACGACCAGCCAAACUGGGACUGCGACACGGCCCAGACUCCUACGGGAGGCAGCAGUGGGGAAUUUUGGACAAUGGGCGCAAGCCUGAUCCAGCAAUGCCGCGUGCAGGAAGAAGGCCUUCGGGUUGUAAACUGCUUUUGUACGGAACGAAACGGCUCUGGUUAAUACCCGGGGCUAAUGACGGUACCGUAAGAAUAAGCACCGGCUAACUACGUG
RNAcentral lists this ribosomal RNA (482 nucleotides) under uncultured bacterium. Its description in RNAcentral is "partial 16S ribosomal RNA". It matches the Rfam family "Bacterial small subunit ribosomal RNA", at positions 30 to 507 of the family's 1533-position model. The record is from RNAcentral.